AACGAACGCUGGCGGCAUGCCUAACACAUGCAAGUCGAACGAGACCUUCGGGUCUAGUGGCGCACGGGUGCGUAACGCGUGGGAAUCUGCCCUUGGGUUCGGAAUAACAGUUAGAAAUGACUGCUAAUACCGGAUAAUGUCUUCGGACCAAAGAUUUAUCGCCCAGGGAUGAGCCCGCGUAGGAUUAGCUAGUUGGUGAGGUAAAGGCUCACCAAGGCGACGAUCCUUAGCUGGUCUGAGAGGAUGAUCAGCCACACUGGGACUGAGACACGGCCCAGACUCCUACAGGAGGCAGCAGUGGGGAAUAUUGGACAAUGGGCGAAAGCCUGAUCCAGCAAUGCCGCGUGAGUGAUGAAGGCCUUAGGGUUGUAAAGCUCUUUUACCCGGGAUGAUAAUGACAGUACCGGGAGAAUAAGCCCCGGCUAACUCCGUGCCAGCAGCCGCGUAAU
This 449-nucleotide ribosomal RNA is filed under the name uncultured bacterium. RNAcentral describes it as "bacterial SSU rRNA". It matches the Rfam family "Bacterial small subunit ribosomal RNA", at positions 29 to 524 of the family's 1533-position model. The record is from RNAcentral.